UAUGUACCAAUUUAGGUGGAAUGGAUUUUACAAUUAAACAUUUUGCUGGUGAUGUCAAAUAUUCUUCAGACGGAUUUUUGGACAAAAAUAAAGAUACAGUUUAUGAAGAUCAAGUUAAUGUAUUAAGAAAUGGGAAAAAUGCUUUGUUAAGUAA
Acyrthosiphon pisum (pea aphid) is the source of this 154-nucleotide long non-coding RNA. RefSeq lists it as uncharacterized. NCBI's taxonomy places the organism in Eukaryota, Metazoa, Arthropoda, Insecta, Hemiptera, Aphididae. The transcript has 3 exons. The record is from RefSeq and is a predicted model, not a curated record.